CAUCACUACGCUAGAUGCAUAUCAAUAAGCGGAGGAAAAGAAACUAACAAGGAUUCCCCUAGUAACGGCGAGUGAAGCGGGAAGAGCUCAAAUUUGAAAUCUUAAAGGGUUUCCCUUUACGAAUUGUAGUUUAAAGAAGUGUUUUCUGUUGGAGUUUCGGUAAAAGUUCUUUGGAAUAGGACAUCAUAGAGGGUGAGAAUCCCGUAUUUGACCGUUACUCUCCAGCUGUGUGAUACACUUUCAAAGAGUCGGAUUGUUUGGGAAUGCAGUCCAAAAUGGGUGGUAAAUUUCAUCUAAAGCUAAAUAUUGGCGAGAGACCGAUAGCGAACAAGUACCGUGAGGGAAAGAUGAAAAGAACUUUGAAAAGAGAGUUAAACAGUACGUGAAAUUGUCAAAAGGGAAGCGUUUGACACCAGUGUUGUUUAGUUGAAAAUCAAUUCAAUAAUUUUUGAUUUUGAGUAGUAUUGACUUCAUCAGCUUGCUGCUUUCUUUUCCGAAAUUAUUGAAUGCACUUUUCAGUUAACAAGUCAACAUCAAUUUCUUUUGUUGUAAAAGGGUAAGAGGAAGGUGGCUUACGCUUCGGCGUAAGUGUUUAUAGCCUUUUACCUCUGCAAUCGGAGAGAUUGAGGACAGCAGCGUAGACUCCUUCGGGGGUUAGAUACACUUGUGCUAAGCUAUAGCCUUGUAUAGACAACUUGUUGACUAUGCUCAGUCAUGUAGCUUACUCGCUUAUGCUAUUUUACCUACGCUUAGGAUGUUGACACACGCGCGUGCUCG
This 777-nucleotide ribosomal RNA is filed under the name uncultured Neocallimastigales. Its description in RNAcentral is "partial large subunit ribosomal RNA". It matches the Rfam family "Eukaryotic large subunit ribosomal RNA", at positions 24 to 643 of the family's 3401-position model. The record is from RNAcentral. Lineage: Eukaryota; Fungi; Neocallimastigomycota; Neocallimastigomycetes; Neocallimastigales.